This 413-nucleotide ribosomal RNA is filed under the name uncultured bacterium. RNAcentral describes it as "bacterial SSU rRNA". It matches the Rfam family "Bacterial small subunit ribosomal RNA", at positions 506 to 917 of the family's 1533-position model. The record is from RNAcentral.
GGCCAGCAGCCGCGGUAAUACGUAGGUGGCAAGCGUUGUCCGGAAUUACUGGGCGUAAAGGGCGUGUAGGCGGUAAAUUAAGUCAGACGUGAAAACUCAGGGCUUAACCUUGAGACUGCGUUUGAAACUGAUAGACUAGAGGAUCGGAGAGGGCAGUGGAAUUCCCAGUGUAGCGGUGAAAUGCGUAGAUAUUGGGAGGAACACCAGUGGCGAAGGCGACUGCCUGGACGACACCUGACGCUGAGGCGCGAAAGCCAGGGGAGCAAACGGGAUUAGAUACCCCGGUAGUCCUGGCCGUAAACGAUGGGUACUAGGUGUGGGAGGUAUCGACCCCUUCCGUGCCGGAGCAAACGCAAUAAGUACCCCGCCUGGGGAGUACGGCCGCAAGGUUGAAACUCAAAUGAAUUGACGGC